CGAUCGUUAGCUCAGUUGGGAGAGCAUCGCCCUUAUAAGGCUAGGGUCACUGCUUCAAGUCCAGUACGACCCACAA
RNAcentral lists this transfer RNA (76 nucleotides) under Pseudoalteromonas sp. S1609. Its description in RNAcentral is "tRNA-Ile". It matches the Rfam family "tRNA". From Rfam's summary of the family: Transfer RNA (tRNA) molecules are approximately 80 nucleotides in length. Their secondary structure includes four short double-helical elements and three loops (D, anti-codon, and T loops). Further hydrogen bonds mediate the characteristic L-shaped molecular structure. tRNAs have two regions of fundamental functional importance: the anti-codon, which is responsible for specific mRNA codon recognition, and the 3' end, to which the tRNAs corresponding amino acid is attached (by aminoacyl-tRNA synthetases). tRNAs cope with the degeneracy of the genetic code in two manners: having more than one tRNA (with a specific anti-codon) for a particular amino acid; and 'wobble' base-pairing, i.e. permitting non-standard base-pairing at the 3rd anti-codon position. The record is from RNAcentral. Lineage: Bacteria; Pseudomonadati; Pseudomonadota; Gammaproteobacteria; Alteromonadales; Pseudoalteromonadaceae.